Molecule: long non-coding RNA, 791 nt
Filed under: Eucalyptus grandis
Lineage: Eukaryota; Viridiplantae; Streptophyta; Magnoliopsida; Myrtales; Myrtaceae
Description: long non-coding RNA (EGRA_LNC006267)
Source: RNAcentral
UUAACGAAAAUUCCCGGUCCCACCAACAGUGUUUGGUAAAUUAGCGACUCUCCAUAGAACCUGCUUCACUGUCUGCUGCAAAUGGAAACCAUUUUGUCCCUGUUACCUUUUGACUCCUUGCUUUUGCAUGCAAGCAGGGAAGCUGAAAAUCCAGCAAAUCCGGAAAAAGAAGUUUGCCAGAUAUCAUAGCACUAAUCUCUACACAAAACAACUCCUGACAAACAACCCCACCGAGGCACCAAAUGCAUCCAUGACACCAAAUAAAAAAGACGGGUGCCCCCAAAAGUAAGUAAAAUAUAUACUCGUGCCUCUUGUUUUUGCUAAGCAUGCAAUAUGUUGCAUUGAAGGGAUCAACAUAUAUUAAUAGCCUACAUGAUGGAAAGGUAAUUUCUAGGCCAGGGUUCGUGUAUCGGACAGCUUGCCAGUUGGGCAUCCACAUCGAGACCAGAGAAGACACGAGAAAUUAUUUCCUUAUCGCCUGGCCUUGAGUGAAUCACCUCGUGCUGGAACCGAUGCGUUUCUUGAUCUCCGAAUGCAGCUUUUUGAACAUUUGUGGCUCAAUAUCUCUCCCAUAUAUGCAGCCUUCUAAUCCUUAUCUGGUUUCUUCCGUCUCAUAUCUCAUGAGGAUAGAGGGAAAAAAGGGUGGUGUUAUCAACUUCAUUGUAUCGUGAGUUUUGUUAUCUUCUGUUUGUACUUCUCAAUACCUAAUCCAUCAUCUCUUCCCUGACCAUGAUCCAAAGUUCUAUCCAUUUACAUAUCUUUCCCAAUACACAAUGUCAUUCAUUUAACAA